UUAAGAUGUAUGAAGGUGGGUGUUUGUUAUAUUGGUCAGUUAACGUACUGUACUCACCAAGGGCCCCCGUGCUGACUUUGGGUGCAAGAAGCAAUAGAGCUGGGACAAGAGGAACAGCUAAUGGAGCUGUGAUGUUGCAGAAGGCUGGCCACAUACAACUGUUCCUGGCUGUUGGGACCCUCAUUUUGUGCUGGUACUGCUGAGGAUCUCUCCUGAAGGAUGGGCUGAAGAAGGCUGUAGGAAGAUUGGUACCAAAAAGGAGAAUUCAUGGGCACUGUGGUAGUAUCCUUCUGCCCCUGCUCUGAGGGGACCCCGUUGGUAUUACAGCGAUGAAGAAGGUGAGCAAGAAACAAACCUGGGAAUAUUUUGCAAGUUCUGCCAGUAUCACUCCUGUGUGUUUGCCUGUAAGGACUGUAAGAGACAUGAAGCAGUCAGGAGAGGCUGUACCAUUGCAGGAGGGGUUCCCGUGUCAGGCAGAUCAUCAUCAUUAAGCCAUCCCUAUGGCCUGGGUAGCUACCUACAGCCCUUUAAGAUUACUGAAGACACUUGCAAGGGGUUUAAGAGGUUUUGGAGCAUGCCUUAGUGUAUCUCUGUCUUGACACUACUGAAUCCUGGUAAGCCCUUUGUUAACCUUGGCAGAGAGUUGUGAAACCUCCUCUAUGAAACAGAGGUCACGUUUAUACCCAUCCUUUUCUUAUAAGUUAACAACAACAACAAAAGAUGCAAAUAAUGGUUUUGCACAUUGUCUGUCAUGUAAAAAUACCAAGCUCCACAGCUGGUCUCCAUUUGCUGGCCACAGACAUGUAGGGUCAGGUUUGGGGGGUAGAAGAGACAGGGAUGCUUAAGUUGCAAGUGAGGAUACACUAACUGAAAAUUACAGCUCAAAUUCUGCUCCAGUUUGGGAAGACCGAGACAUUUUUCUACUUUGAACUGGGGCAACCAACCAACCAACUGGUCUGAGCCUUUUUUUUUUUUUUUUUUUUUUCCCUGAGCUUUGGAGGAAGUGUUUAUGCCAGCUGUGAGCACACCUUCAGACACAGAACAGCACUUGCUGCAGCUUCACUUCGAGGUCUUGGUGCUGUCAAGGGCUGAGAGUUUAAAACUAGCUGAGCCUCCCACGUGGCAACAUGAUUUACUAAACCACUAAGAUAUUGGGUCAGCUUUGUAAAUCAUUUUAAUUAUUGCACUAAACAGGUUGUGGAGAUGGAUCAAUAGAAAAUAUGACAUUUAGGCUCACAAUGCUGUGCAUUCAUUAUGGGAGAGAAAUUAUAUUAACUGAUUUAGGAGCUAAUAAUAACUGAAAAUAACAAUUUAAUGGAAGCCUUCCAAUCCUGCACUUUGAAGCAGGAUACUGCUGUACACAGUCUACCCAUUUUAAUCUCAGUCAAGUAUACAUAGCAAUUUUUUUGACUCUCAGAAAUGUCAGUCAAGUGCAAGUAACUUACCGAAUUUCAGCAUCCCAUAUAUUACAUUAUAAUAAAACAAAAUCAAAGAAACUGUCAACAACCAUUUUACAUACAGGCAGGGUCACAUAAACCAGGGACAUGAAAAAUGAGAAAAUGCAUCACACUAUAAUAAUGUGGAGGUCUUGCACACUGGGGCUAUUUUCCACUUGCAAUUAGUAUUUCCAUGACCACAGUUGUACUGCUGGGCUUAAAAGGUGUUUACGUCUUUCUAAGGUGGUGAGUUUUGGUCUCAAAUAUCUGAGUACUAAAUAUAUGGUACGGUAUAUCUAUAUAUAUACCAUAUGGUAUAUGGUGUAUAUAUAUAUAUAGAAAGAGAGAGAGAGAGAAACUAAUCUCUCCUGUGCAGUGAAUGCCAGGUGCUACCAUUCAGUAGCAACUGCCAGCAUUGUCUUAUUGCAAUUAUUUCACAGUGGCUAAACUAAAUUUGGUUCACUGUGGCAUGUUUUUUCCUCAAUACAUGUACAACCUGUGCUGUUAAAAUAUUUUCUUUUGAAAUAAACUGUACGUUGUGACUAAUUAAUGCCUAACAGCCAUUGACUAACUAUACUGAACCAAGCAGGCAUGACUGGGGACAGAAUUUAAGCUGCGAUCAGGUACUGCACCUCUGUCACCUGCUCUGUAGAAAGCCUGCAGCCUGCUGAUACCCAGUUGUCCCAGCAGCCCUGCGCUCCGUGUUUUUCAGGGAGGGUUAAGCUUUUCUUUAAACCCUCUGGCUAGAUAGCAUUUGAAUUAUGCACUUCAUUGCACCCCAAUUAGCUACAAAUGCAUUGCAGAAAUCAUUAUCAGUUUAUUUGGGAAAACACCUUAUUUUGCUAUUUGGUUCAGCAUAUGAAGAAAAAAAAAACACACGCACCCUUUUUGACUGAGAAGAACUUGUUUUAGAGCAGAGUGAAACUUUGAGCCAUGGGCAAAUCAUGCUGCUCCUACUUAUUUAGCUGUCCCCUUGGGCUCCAGCCAGCUGUUUUGGGAACACAGGCUGCUCGAAUCAAAACAAAUGGCUUCAGCACGACCACAGAACUGACUUGAGCACGUUCCCUGCAUGGGCUGUGCAGCACGGCUAUCUCCUACUUCAGAGAACCCACAGCAGGUGAAUUUUAGUGUCCCCAGGUAAACAGUCCUUGGAGCUUCCCACACCACCUCCCCCUCCUCCCUAUGUGUAAUUGUGUUCCCGGCUGUACACUACAGAUCGGGUGGAUAUUUCUCUCAGGCUCUGUAAAUGCUAGCAGCAACAGCUGAGUGCUGAAUCGAGGGACACAUGCUAUGUCAAACAUGUGGCAUUUUCAUGGCACCAAGCGUGAGCAGUGCUUUCUCUGGUGCUGCUCUGCUCCAAGAUACCGGAGCGGCAAGGUUUGAGUUACCCCGGGCAAUGAGCCUAAGCUUUGCUGACUUUUCUAUGCACGUUUAUGACCACAUUGGCAAAUACUUUCUGAAUCCAACAGAACUCCACGUUUCCUUUUGAGACGAUUUGUCUUGGUGAAAUACUGUAGUCUAGAGUAAGAUCUAUCUGAUUUCAAAAUAAUUAACUCUUGGAUUAAUAAAGAGAUUUCAUUUCUUGAAAAAAAAUGAAAAAAGUUUUAAGACUUUUGACACCAUAGCAAGCUGGAUUUAGUUUCAUUUACUUGGUCUUGCUAUUAAAUCAUGCUACAGUUCAGAUCUUGACAGGUACUUAGUGUGUGUUUCUUAAUUACUAUUUGCUUUUGU
This is a non-coding RNA of Anas platyrhynchos (mallard), 3167 nucleotides long. The record is from RefSeq and is a predicted model, not a curated record. NCBI's taxonomy places the organism in Eukaryota, Metazoa, Chordata, Aves, Anseriformes, Anatidae.